GUGCGUAAUGGGAAAGACAGCCAGAGAGCAGUUCAGGAACAUGAGCCACAACCAUCCCAAGAUCCUCAAUUCAUUCAAGGACAACAGCAAAACAACAGCAAAGAUAUAAGAGCUUGGAGAGACAGCUACCCCAGACCUACCCAAGCAGAAACAAGAAAGGUGGACCGGAAACCUGCUCUCUCCUGUUCUUACCAUUCCAGCCAACAACUCUUUGCCCAUGGCCUACCAUAUUUUUCUUCCAAGUGUGUCAUUUCAAGUUACAGGUCUGAGGCUAAUGGUUUUCUUUACUUAAAAAAGCUUUGGGACUUCAGCACACACUCUGGGUUCUGUCCCAAGCAUAUUCCCUCUAUUCAUAUUAGUGAUCACAGCCCUGGGGUAGGUACUACAGCAACUCCUGUUUGUACAGUGAAGACUCAGAGGCCCAGAGAGGUUAGAGGAACUUGUUCAAGGUUACAGUCAGGACUCAGACCCAGGUAGUCGGUUCUUGUGUCUGUGAAGGAUGCCACUGUCUCUCCCAGGCUCAGGCUGAUCUAUAUAAGCACCAUGUUCCAGCAAUGUUCAGAUAAAGACUUUUCUCUUUAUGUGUGUUUUAAUUGUAACAACCCAGAUAGAUUAAAUUCUCUUUUGAUUGUUUCUGAGAAGGCAGAAACCUUUUAGGGAGAGCUGAAGGCUGGAGACAACAGGAUCUUUAUGAGGAGGCUCUAGAACCACAAGAGCAUCCCGGGGAGGAGGCAGACACUGCAGAGAGUGUGGACAGCUAAGGGAGUCAACUAAGGGAGAUGUAUUGUUAGAAGGCCUCCCCCUCCCCUGGCAAUGUGAAGACAAUACAUUGUUCAUUGUCAGAAGGAUCAUAGAAACCUGAAUCUCCAGCUGUUUUUACUGUGAAACUGGAAUUUCAGAAGCUCUAGGCAAAGACUUGAGGAUGGGGCCCAUUGGCACAGGCCUGUAAUUCAGCCAGGGAGGCUGAGGCAGGAGGAUCCUAAGGAUGAGGUCAGCCAGGGCACCUUAGCAAGACCCUGUCUCAAAAUAAGAAAUAAAAAGAAAAGAUUAAAAAAGACUUAAGGCCUCAAUAGGUUGUUACCUAGAACUCAGAUUUCUUGGAGAAAUGCUGCCCCCCAAAGGGCUACACAGGUAUUGUUUUUGUGAGUUACGCCUUACAUAUGGCAACUGCUUUAUGUAGAG
Molecule: long non-coding RNA, 1182 nt
Filed under: Marmota monax (woodchuck)
Lineage: Eukaryota; Metazoa; Chordata; Mammalia; Rodentia; Sciuridae
Source: RNAcentral